RNAcentral lists this non-coding RNA (500 nucleotides) under uncultured Glomus. RNAcentral's name for it is "SSU rRNA". It matches the Rfam family "Eukaryotic small subunit ribosomal RNA", at positions 569 to 1074 of the family's 1831-position model. Lineage: Eukaryota; Fungi; Glomeromycota; Glomeromycetes; Glomerales; Glomeraceae. The record is from RNAcentral. RNAcentral also lists the same sequence under 1 other name.
AGCAGCCGCGGUAAUUCCAGCUCCAAUAGCGUAUAUUAAAGUUGCUGCAGUUAAAAAGCUCGUAGUUGAAUUUCGGGAUCAAUAUGUUGGUCGUGCCUCGGUACGUACUAGCUUAUUGGUUUCUCCCUUCUGACGAACCAUGAUGUCAUUUAUUUGGUGUUAUGAGGAAUCAGGACUGUUACUUUGAAAAAUUAGAGUGUUUAAAGCAGGCUCACGCUUGAAUACAUUAGCAUGGAAUAAUGAAAUAGGACGUUUGAUUCUAUUUUGUUGGUUUCUAGGAUCGACGUAAUGAUUAAUAGGGAUAGUUGGGGGCAUUAGUAUUCAAUUGUCAGAGGUGAAAUUCUUGGAUUUAUUGAAGACUAACUACUGCGAAAGCAUUUGCCAAGGAUGUUUUCAUUAAUCAAGAACGAAAGUUAGGGGAUCGAAGACGAUCAGAUACCGUCGUAGUCUUAACCAUAAACUAUGCCGACUAGGGAUCGGAUGAUGUUAAUUUUUAAUGA